Molecule: ribosomal RNA, 377 nt
Filed under: Shigella sonnei
Lineage: Bacteria; Pseudomonadati; Pseudomonadota; Gammaproteobacteria; Enterobacterales; Enterobacteriaceae
Description: bacterial SSU rRNA
Rfam family: Bacterial small subunit ribosomal RNA
Source: RNAcentral
AAAUUGAAGAGUUUGAUCAUGGCUCAGAUUGAACGCUGGCGGCAGGCCUAACACAUGCAAGUCGAACGGUAACAGGAAGCAGCUUGCUGCUUCGCUGACGAGUGGCGGACGGGUGAGUAAUGUCUGGGAAACUGCCUGAUGGAGGGGGAUAACUACUGGAAACGGUAGCUAAUACCGCAUAACGUCGCAAGACCAAAGAGGGGGACCUUCGGGCCUCUUGCCAUCGGAUGUGCCCAGAUGGGAUUAGCUUGUUGGUGGGGUAACGGCUCACCAAGGCGACGAUCCCUAGCUGGUCUGAGAGGAUGACCAGCCACACUGGAACUGAGACACGGUCCAGACUCCUACGGGAGGCAGCAGUGGGGAAUAUUGCACAAUGG